RNAcentral lists this small RNA (142 nucleotides) under Pongo abelii (Sumatran orangutan). RNAcentral describes it as "processed transcript". Lineage: Eukaryota; Metazoa; Chordata; Mammalia; Primates; Hominidae. The record is from RNAcentral.
GGAGGAAGUUUGGGAAAUGCCGAUUUAGCAGAUUCUUUUGUUGUGCCAUGGAUGGUGCUGGUUGAUGUGGGCAAAACAAAGAACACCUCGCAUGGUCAGUAAAAGCAAAGACGGGACUGGAAGCGAUGACAAAAAAGCCAAG